CCAAUAGCGUAUAUUAAAGUUGUUGCAGUUAAAAAGCUCGUAGUUGAAUUUCGGGGUUCUACCGUUGGUCGGGCAAUAGUCUGUACCGGCGUGUAGAAUUUCUACCUUCUGGGGAACCAUCAUGUUAUUUAUUUAGCGUGGUGGGAAACCAGGACCUUUACCUUGAAAAAAUUAGAGUGUUCAAAGCAGGCUUACGUCUGAAUACAUUAGCAUGGAAUAAUAAAAUAGGACGGUGGUCCUGUUUUGUUGGUUUCUGAAUCACCGUAAUGAUUAAUAGGGAUAGUUGGGGGCAUUAGUAUUCAAUUGUCAGAGGUGAAAUUCUUGGAUUUAUUGAAGACUAACUUCUGCGAAAGCAUUUGCCAAGGAUGUUUUCAUUAAUCAAGAACGAAAGUUAGGGGAUCGAAGACGAUCAGAUACCGUCGUAGUCUUAACCAUAAACUAUGCCGACUAGGGAUCGGACGAUGUUAAUUUUUCUUGACUCGUUCGGCGCCUUACG
RNAcentral lists this ribosomal RNA (496 nucleotides) under uncultured Glomeromycotina. RNAcentral's name for it is "partial small subunit ribosomal RNA". It matches the Rfam family "Eukaryotic small subunit ribosomal RNA", at positions 591 to 1092 of the family's 1831-position model. The record is from RNAcentral. Lineage: Eukaryota; Fungi; Glomeromycota.